CCAAAAUGGAGCCAGAGUAGCCAGAAGAGCCGGAGCAGCUGGAGGAGCCAGAGUAGCUACCGCUGCAUCCCAGAAGGAGCGGCCAUAGUGUCUAAGACAAAGCUGCAGCUGGAGCACGGGAGCCCCUGGAGCGCAGGUACCGCUGCGGAGCAGGAGCUAAUGCCGCCGCCGCCAGGAAAAGGGAGCCACCGGAGCACGCAUGCGUUGGAGUGCGGGAGCCGCCCGCCACCUGCUGCCACGGCCGCCAAAGCCUUGAAUUCGCUCCAAUGCAGGAGGCGACUUUUCUGCUGGAGUGCAGGAGUCAAUGACGCUGCCGCCAGAGCACGGGACCCAGCACCACCUGGUUGGUGGCGUCCAGAAUUCAGGAUCCCACAGUGCCGCCAGCAGAGGACCGGAGAUGCUGGAGGGCAGGAGCCAAGGCUGUUGCAGCUGGAAUGCAGGAGCUGCUGCCUCCAGAGCUCAGAGCCGCCCCCAGGGGGCCCAAGCCAAAGGAUCCAAGGUGGAAGCCCCUGGGGAAAGGUGCAGGCACCGUGGGUCGGAGGACUGCAGCUUCUGGGGAGGUCCUCUUGGGCGAAGGGAGUCGCCACAUUGGAGGAGGUCUGACCCAGGGUGGGCGUCUUUCUGUGCUGGAAGUGUGACUGUGAGUCCGGGGUUGCGGGCUGGAGGUAAGCGGUACCUCUGGUGUUUUCAGGAGUGUGUAGGGGUAGCUGCAGCAUGAGGAUCCCUCAGGUGGGGGCAUACCUUGCGGUGUCUGGGUGGGAUCCCAUUUUGUGGAGGUACAGGUCUCAGUGAGGAGAUCUUAAAGGGGAGUCAAGCUCCUGGGGACAGGAAGGCCUGUUGUGGGGGGUGAUAUGGAAAGGGGAUGCCCAAGGGAGCCCAGCCUUCAGCAAAAAGGAGAGGCUCAAUUUGGGGCCAUGAAGACUUCCUCCCACAACCCAACAUUCUCAUUCCUGGGAGACAACUCUAGGAGUCUGAAGGCCCCUUCACUUAGCAUUCCAGGCCAGAGUGUAUGGACUGCUCCUUUGGCAUAUGGGUCUCCUCACCCCUGGCUUUCUAUGACAGGAAGAUGGCAGGUUUUUGCUUGCACUCUCCCUUGGGCCAACCUCGAGCUGAUUCAGGCCUCUGGAUUCAUAGCUCAGUCCAGGUCCCUGUAGAAGUUGGGGAUGUUUACUGUUGUGGAGACUAAGGGUAGCAUUUCCAUGUCUGGACUGUGAAUGUGUGGGUCCAUGAAUAUGGCUGUGUGUGCAUGAGUGUAUGUGACUGGAGUAUGUGCAUAUGAGAAUGUGUGUGCACCUGUCUGGAGAUGUCCAAGUGUAUAUCUAGGUAUUGUGUGUAUGUGUAUCUGUGUGCAUGAACAGUUUUUGUGAGUCUGUACUUGUAUGAUACGUGAGAUCGUGGGAGUGAAUAAGGCUAUGACUGUGUGUGUGCUUGUGUGGUCACUGUGUAUUACCCUUCCCUCAGCGCCACCAUCACUCAGCCUGGUGCCACAUUGCAGCUAUGUUUGCAUCUUGCAAGUUUUCAGCCCAAGAUAAAGGGAAUACAAAAUAAAAGACACAGAAUAGAGAAGUAGAAAAAAGCCAGAGGGCAGAGUGUGGGGUAAAGGUGUGAACAGAAAGGGACAGAGCAUGCUCUUCCCAGCCCUGAGUGCUUCCAUUUGGGAAGGUGCUGCAGCCACUGCCCAGAGGCAGCAUAUGACAUGAGGCCACAGCUGCCUGCUGUCAGAGCACUCUUGGAGCUGGGAGUGUGCACAUAGGGGCAAGUUGGUGCCAUCUUGGAUUCUGAGUUCUUCUUUGGUUUGCAAAGGUGGUAGCAGCGCCUCUGUAAAGACAGGUGAUGCACAGAGAUGUGGCUUCCAGCAGGAAGGACAGUGGCUAGCUGAACAUGACCAAGAGAUGGUGGAGCGCAUGACCUCAGCAUUUUUGACAAGGCACAGAGUACCUGUGUGAAGGCCACCUGGAGCUCACCUGCCAGGUAAGGGCUGCACUAAUUACCUGAUGCUCAGUCAAGUGAGUGGCAGUAGUGGAUGACCUGGUUCUAAAGCUCCUUGCUAAAGGAGGAAAAUAUUUUAAGUGCUAUAGGAAAUGUUUUUGCUAGAGGAGUUGAAAGAAGGAAAUUUGGAGGGAACAAAAGAGGUUGUUCUGUCAAUUUGGGACCGGGGUCGGUUUGAACCUGAGAAGGCAGUCUGCCGCCUACAAGAUUAGGAAAACCUCAUGCUUGCUAACAUUGAAAGAGAUUGGCAUGCCCACAUUUUACCAUUGUUUUCCUUUUCUAUAGUUUAUGUUCACUUAAAUAGCUUAAUUCUAAUCUAAUUACUAAUGUAAAAAAGCACAAGGUACAGCUAAGAGAUUGCAUUAGGAAACUUUAAUAUUUAACAUGGGAUUUUUAAAAAAUUCUGUUUAUCCAAAACCUGAUUUAUUUUGUGUAAUGGCUUAAAGUCUGAUGAUUGAUGUUGGUGGUGUGUUAUACAUGAACUGUCUUCUAUAGUAUUUUUGGUAAUUUUGAAACAUUCAGAGUUAACAAAAUGAGUCUUUCAAUCAAGACUUUUAUAUUGUAGUUGUAUGUCAAUAUUAAUAAGUUUGAUAUUGCAUCUUUUAACCAAGUUCAAAUUCUUGCAGAUUAUACUUUGAGCAAUUAUUUAUCUGCAGCAGAUGGAAAAAAAUAUUCUAUAUGUUACUAUUUUAGAAAUGUAUGUUAAGUAAAUAUAUACUGAAAUGCAUUGAGAAGUCUAUCCAAGAUGUUUUAGAAUUUUACAAAAUCUUGUCAAAUUCAUAAAGUGUAGCUUUAAAGACAAAUUUUAUGAGAUAUCACAAAACACUAUUUUAAAGUACUAGUCACAAUCCUUUUAUUUUGGUAGACGAAAGAGUGAAGGAAAGCUGGCACUUUUUAAAAAACAAAAUUGGUGCAAGAAAAUCUUUUGAGUAAAAAAAAAUAUAUAAAAAUCUCAUAUAUAUAUAUAUAUAUAUAUAUAUAUAUAUAUAUAUAUAUAGAGAGAGAGAGAGAGAGAGAGAGAGAGAGAGAGAGAAAGGGGAGAAAGUGUCCACUUUAAAAUAUUUUCCAGAUGGAAAAAAUGCAAGAAUUUUUCCUGCUUUAUGUAAAUUUUUGGUCUGGUGAGUUGCCAAUUUGAACUUGUUUUUGUUUCAUGUGAGAUUCAGAUACACAGUGAUAUCUAUAUGGUUCUUUGAAAGGCUUUCAGCUGCUGAGGAAGUGUAUUUAUGCUUUCGGUUCAAAAGAACUUAUUCCCUGGAAAGCACUGAAAAAAAAAUGAGGACAUUUCAGAAUUAUUUUCAGAUUAUUUUUCAUAUUCCUUUUUGAUACUAUAGGUUAUUUUAUCUGUUAUAGGUGUUAAGUACUUUUUUAUAAAGUAAAAAUUUAGACUAUAUUUGGAAAAAAUACCUAGCUAUAUCUGAUAUUUAAAAGAUGUUUUGUCAAAAGCAUAAAUUAACAAAGGUGACAAGUUAAUGGAGGUGGGCAAGUUAAUUGAACUCUUUCGCAUUAUUUGAGAAAAUAGCAUAUGUUUGCUGACUUUGGGAAUCAUGGCUGGUGAGAAAUCACUAAAGAUUUACCAGAGGCGACUUUAUCAUAAACAAAAUCUACUAAAAUCUGCAGGUUCGAAUUCAUAAUGGUUAUAAAUGUUUCUAGUAUUCAUACUGUCCAAAAGUUUCAAAUCACAUGUCCAAUAGCAGCUGAUUUGUUAGUUUUUAGGGAUGGUUAAAUAUAUGCCCAUAUUUUAUUAAUUCAUACUAUCCACAAGUCCAGAUACAAUGUAAUAAAACAUUUUCAGUGAAUCACUUUCUUCCUUUUAAGUAUUUACUUCUUUGACCUGGUCAAAUUAGUGAACUGAUUUAGAAGAUAAAAUCUAGAAAAUACCACAGGUCUUACAAUGUCAAAUAUUGAUCAUUGGUGGUACACAUAGGUAGCUUUUGUUUUUGUUUUAUGGAAAAAUAUGUUAGAAGUGUUGAUGGGAGGCUAAACUAUUUGAUUCAUAUCAACCUGUAUAUUUUUAAGUUCUACAUAUUUUUAAUUUCUUUACAAAUAUUUUAAUACUUAUUGUUAAGUACAUAUACACCAAGAGAAAAUAUUAAAUAAAGGGAAACACUUGCUUGGGGAGUUUAAAUUAGCUUUAAAUAUAUAUAUAUAUAUAGUGUAGUUUUUGACUAUUUUAGAUCAUAGUUCAUUGCCUCACUUGGCAUGAAAUAAAAACAUCAUAUUUAACAUAUGCCUAUCAGUAUUUCUUUAUAUUUUGUAAACAUCCUACAUGCAAAAUUGGUAUUAAGUUUAACAUAAAAUUUCACUCAAGAAUUAUAAAGACUAAGUUAGAUUACCAACUCAAGUAGUGUAUGUGCUCUCACAACUGUUUGGCUGCCAAACAUAGGUUAAAAAAAUUUCUUUACCUAAACUCUUUGCAUUGUAAUGAAAUAAAUUCUGACUGCUUGAAAAGUCAUGAUCUACUGAAAAUUUGCCUGUAAAAUAAUUCAUAAACAUUAAAUAUUUUGAAUAUAGGAUUCUUCACAAUUGAUAUAAAUAAUUUUGUAUGUACAUUUGAUAACAUCAGUGUUGAUUUUUAAUGUUUAUCAUUAUUUUCUGUGAUUUGUCUAAUACAUAUUUGGUUAUUUUUAUUAAAGUAUUGGGUACUUUCUCCAAGACUGAAAUGUCAAUAUAAAGUGUACUUGAUUGUAUUAAAAAUGUGUUGCAGAAAUUGAGCAAGCAAAGAAAAAUAUAAAGGCUUUUUAUGGUCUUUUUCUGUAGCUCUUUAUUGAUGCUAUAGAUAAGAUGGUGCUGCUAUGUUAGUGAAAGAUAAAAUACAAAAAAUUUCACUUACUUCAAAACUUGAACAGAAAGGCUAUUUUAUUUUUUUUUAUUUAUGCAUUUAAAGUCCAAGUUUGUUUUCUCUUUUUUAAAAUCCUGAGUGACACUUGAAAUGUCUCAACAAUUUUCAGACUUCUUGAUGAUGGACUAUUUGUGGCAAUUUUAAAGAAAAUCUGUUUUAUAGGUAGCAUAAAACACUUUUAAGAUUGUGUCUCUAGCACAAUUUGUGAUACAGGAGGAGUAUCUUAAAGACAAAAGACUUAGGAUAAUACAGACCUUACUGGGUAGAUAUAAUCUUCUUUCAACUUCAGAUUUGAACACUUGCAGUGUGGUAUAUCAUAAAUGUGGGUUUCUUAAGAGAUUUUCUUACUAGAAAUCAAAUCCUUGGUGACACACAUUUGUGUUAGUCUUUUCAACAGUGGGUUGAAGUUCAGCCAUAGCCUGAGGGAGAAUCUCCUGAUCAUUGUAAACUGCAAUAGUAAAGACUCUGUUUUUGACAGGUGCAAACCAUAAAAAUUACCCUGUCAUUUUUCCUAACUUAAUAAAGCUUAAAGACCAAUCAUAUCUAAGUUGUCUUUUGGUGUUUUAAUAUUUACCAUUUUAAAACAGAAAAUGGUUCCUUUGUGCAAAUUUUUUGGGGUUGAUGCAUUGUCAGAUUCUAAGAACUCACUUAAAUAAACAAGAUUAGCACUAGCAAUCUUAUUAUUUUUUUUUCACAAGCAGUAAUUCUGACAAUAAUAGUAUGUCUAUCAGUUAGGUAAGAACUAGCCAGUGCAGUACCACUGUGAAUUCUAGCAAGAAAGAUAAUGUGAGAUGUUUUGGUUUUAUGUUUCUCAAGCUAAAAGACAAAGGAGUGUUAGUGAACUAAACUUGGACUCCUUUAGCCCUGACACUUGUAUUCAGUGAGCUUCCAGUAUAUAAUUAUUUGGUUUAAUAUCUAAACUAUAUUUUCAUAUAAGUGCCAAUAGCACAGUAUUUUAUAGUAAUUGCUUUCAAUUAUUUCAUCAAUAAAGCUAAGUCCCUAGAUAUCCUGGGAAAAAAUUGUGUAUACUUUAUAAAUUCUUGUUUGUGGGUGAUUCAAAUGAUAGACAUUAUAAAACUGUGUUUUCUAAUUUUUACAUUUUAUUCUCAUAAGAUUGUCUUUUUUCUAAUUUAUUGAAUAUAUCAAGAUUUGUUUACAAAAACUUAUCUAGUAAAAUAAUUUUUUAAAAUUGAUAAUUUCAAAUUAGAAAGAAUGUCUAGUUUCUCUCACAGUCACCACAAAAGUUUACUUGUGAGUCUGCUUAAUCUGUUUUUACUACAUAUGCACACUCUAAGAAAAUCGUGUCAAGAAAUAACAUAGCUAACACCUAUGAACAAUUUUUUGGCAGUCUGUAACUUUUGUAGCAUGUUCUUUGGGAACGUACCUUGUCUGCACUUCCACAAAGGCUAAUUUGUCAUUUGUUAAUGGAAAAAAAUCAUAGAGAUACAAGUGUACUUUGAAAUCAUUUGGAGAACUUAUACCCCCUUGAUUUAAUAAAGGAGUUGCUUUGUGAUACCUCUCAGAGAGCAAUACAUGUCCUGCUUGAACAUGGAAAGUGACAAGAGUACACUACCUCACCAAGAUAGCAACUUUAAUUCAUGAACAUCUCUUCUUUUGUUGAGCAAAAUUAAUUCUAUUUUUUUUUUAAAUCUCCUGAUACCAAUGUGGCUAUAUAGAAUUUUUUUCUCGAUUACAUUUGAGCUUGAAAGUCUCAUGUGCCUUGGUUUCCAAAACCUAUACUCUCCCAGUUCCCCUCACCUAAAUAGUUUUUCCAUGUUAAUCUUUAUGUGUGAUAUGCAUCUGAAUGUGAUCCACUUUACAGUCUUACUAUGAAAAGACAUCUCUCUCUUUUAAACAGAUGUUCUGCUUGUCUGAAAGAUUUCAGGACUAUACUAUUUUUAAUAUGGAAUUUACACUUGUCUUUUAUGAAUUUAGAUUUUGCACACUUCUCUUUUUGAGGUUUAUGAUUGGUUAACUUGCUCCUUGCUGUCAGUGUUCAUUCUUUCAGCUGCUUAAGAUUUUCUAAUCUAAGGAAGCCUAGCAUGUGCAAGUACAAGUUAAAAAUUUUGUCUUCAGCCCUAUUGCAUAUACAUUUUUAAACAUUUAUUUAUUUAUUUAUCCAUCUAUCUAUUUAUUUAUUUAUAUGUGGUACUGUGGAUUGAACCCAGUGCCUCACACAUGAGCGGCGAGUGCACUACCACUGAUCUACAACCCUAGCCCACAUAUAUUUUAAAGACCUCCUGACACCAUUUAAUGUAAUUGAAAAACACUAUCAAACAACAAAACACUAUUAAACAAAUCUUAAAAAUAGCUAGUGUUCUUGUUGCUUUUAGAUAUUUUGAAUAAUUUUGCUCAUCAAUAACUUAUGUAGAUUCAUUAUUUUUAUGCUUAAAUGAGUCUUGCUUCUACAUAGCCUCCCACUUUUCCAAACACCACACCCUUCUCUCAGAGGGAAGAAAUGCAUAAUUGCAAAUUUUCAUACCACAAUGGGAAAUCCAGAGUUACUGAGAAUUCCAAGCAUUCAACUUGACAUUUAGCAUAUUUAGGUGAGACCUAUGUAGAGCCAUAUUUGGGGCAGGAUUAGGAAUAAGAAAGAACUUAGUUAUUUGUGUCAAUAUCUUUAUUGCAGGUGAAGAGUUAAGAAUUAUAUGCAUUGUGCAUUAUAUUUAAAAUUGAAGUGGCAGCCAUAGUGUAUUGCUAUGUAUUGUAUUAUAGAUCUUCAAAGCUGUGAGAAAUAGGUGGUAUAAACCUGAUAUUCUUGAGGAAUCCAUACAUAAAGGUGUUCCUGAGUAAUUAAGUUUCAAAAGUACUCCAUUCAUUUCCAAUCACCUUGAAAGUUGAAAAUAUCAUAAGUCAAAAAUGCAGUACACCUACUCAACAGUCCAGCCUACCAGUGCAGUACAAUGUAGAAUGUUGGUUGUUUAUUCUAAUGACAAUGUGGUUCACUGGGAUCUGUACUUUUGCUGCCACUGGACAAAAAGAUUAUCAUACCACAUAUGAUUAAUAUUGGAAAAGGAUAAAAUUCAGCAUUGGAAGUUUGUUUACUACUGAAUGCAUAUCACUUUCACACUAAUGUAAAGUUUAAAAACAAGUCAAACUAUCAUUUUGUCAGUGCCCAUGUAUAUAUUAAAUUUUUUUCGAGCACCAGGGAUUAAACUCAGGGAACUUGAACACUGAGCCACAUCCCCACCCCUAUCUUUUUAAAAAUAUUUUUUCGUUGUUGUUGGACAUUCAUUUAUUUAUUUGUAUGUGGUGCUGAGAAUUGAACCCAGUGCCUCACACAUGCUAGGCAAGCAUGCUACCACUGAAUCACAACCCCAGCCCCCCAGCCCUAUCUUAGAUUUUAUUUAGAGACAAAGCUUCACUGAGUUGCUUAGUGCCUCACUUUUGCUGAGGCUGGCUUUGAACUCAAGAUCCUCCUGCCUCAGCCUCCAGAACAGCAGGGAUUAGAAGUGCAUGCCACUGCAUUCAGCUUAUAUUAAGUUUAAAAUGUUCAGCAGUUACUCACUAUUAUAUGUCAGGCAUAAUUCUUGUGAGUAUGAGGAAUAUAGACUUGCAUCCAUUCAGAAGGACUCUUAUUCAUCUCCCAUACAAUUUUUAUUCAUAAAUAAUUAUAUUGUUUAUUUUAUUGUUGUGAAAAUCUACAACCAAGAAAUAUAAGUUAAAUUAAAUUUUGUUUAUUGUAAUUUUAGUAUGGAUGAUGGACGUAAGGGCAAUGAAAACAUUACAGAAGAAAAACAUAUCUGGAAUAAAUGAGGAGAAAUAAGUUGGAGAUAAGUACCAAAUUUCAAAGAGCGUAUCAUACAGCUUGGAAAAUGAAGUUUAUGCUUUAAACUUAAUGGUAUUCCUUUGAACAAAGAUAGAACAGCAUGCUUAAUGUUGGACAAGGAACAAUUUAUUUUUUAGAGGCUUUAUAUCAUAUAAGAGUUUACAUAUUGAUUUCCAAAAAAGCAAUAAAUUGGUCCCAGACCACAGGAUGAAAUCUUACUUUAAAAUAAAAUGAUUUUGCUUCCACUUAACACUGAAAUAUUUUUUGCUGGAAUAACUUUCUACGAUGAAGGUACCUAUUAUUCUUAUCCACUUUUUUUUUUACAUUUAUCAUAUGCUAAGACAAGAACAUAGCCAACUUGUUUUGAGAGUGUUUCUUAGAAUAUUGGUUGAGAAGUGAAAAAAAAUCCUUCAAGAAGGAAAAUGUAAAUAAAACUAAUUUAAAACUUUAUAUCAUGUAUCAGAUACUCUCAAUUUCACAAGAGAAAUAUUUUAAUUUAAAAAUUUGCUGGUUUAGCUUAGUUAAAUAUAAUACUAUUUAAUGAGUGCAAGUGUGAAAGUGCUAAGCACCUUGCAUGAUGUUUUCCCAAAACUCUAUAAAAUAAAGUCUUCUUCCUGUUUACACAUAAGUACAUCCAGGAUCAGAAAAGUUAGUUAACUUGCUCAGUUUAAUGUAUCAAGUAAUAAGUGAAGUCUACAUUCAAACUCAGGGACACCUGAUUUCAAAGCACUUAACUUCUCUAAUUCAUUUUUAUUUUUAUUUUUUGGAUUUUUGGCUAUUUUAUGCUAUUAAUUAGGUAAUAUUUUACUAGGGAUAGAAGAAACAGAAAGAUGAUAGAUGUGGAUUAAGUGGUGGUAGUACAGGAAGAAAUUGGACAUCUUGUAUGCUGUCAAGUGGUGGAGUUUUAGGGAAAUAUUGGGAAAUUUUUGUUUACUUGCUGAUAUAACAUUGGUAUUACCUUCUGACGUUUUCAUACUUUCUUAAAGCAUUAUUCCACCUUCGUUGGUUACCUACCUGUUUCCCUCAUGGCAAUUAUCCACCAUGGACAUUGCUGGAGCUGCUGUGCUCCCUUUAGCACAUCCCCACUCAGUAUGUUUAGUACUUUCUUGUGACACUAUUAUCUCAUUGCUUAACUGUGUGCAAGAAAUCAAAGGAAAAAAACUCUCAAUCUAGUAGGUUUUUCAUUGCUGCCCUAGCAAUUUAUUGCAAAUGAAUGGCUAAAACAUCACAAAUGUAUUACAUUUUUUAGUCAUAAGUUUGGUGUUGGUCUCAGCAGUCUAAAAUCAAAGUGUCUGCAGGGCUGAGACUGUAUGGGGGAAUCUGUUUUCUGCUCAUUACUAUCAUUUACCACAUUCAGUGCUCUCUGACUGUAGUACGGAGGUCCCUUUCUUCUUGCUAACUGUAAGCUGAGGAACAGUCUCAGCUUCCAGAAGCAGUCUGCAUUCCUUGGCUUUUGGUUCUCUUCUUCCUUCUUUAAAGCCAAUAACAGUUCAAUGAAUCCUUUUCAGAUUUUCUUCUGACCCAUUCUUCUUUCACUUUUAUGGAUUCAGGUGAUUAGAUGGAUCCAUCUAUAUAACAUGAGAUACUCUCCCCAAAUCAAGGUCCUUAACCUUAAUCAAAUAUGCAAUAUCUCCUUUGCCAUGUAACAACAUAUCCAUAGUUUCCUGGGAUUAAGAUAUGGGUAUCUUUGGGAGGCCAUUAUUCUGUUUAAUGCAUCUUCAUCAAACACAAUCAUUUUAGGCUUACACAAGCACUUUAAGAAAUUGUUCCAAUUAAUUGAAGCAGUUCUAUAAAUUUUACUUUCUUAUAAUUAAACUGUAUUUAUUAAUCUCUUGGCCUCUAGUUUUGUUCUUGCAAAUCACAGUAGUUUAACUAUUAAAAAGACAUUUCUCAAACCCUUGCAACAAUGAUUUCCUGGAAAACCUUUUAUUAGUUCAUUGAAGUUAUUCAUAAUAUUAGAGUUAAUUUUGACAUAAAGAUAGAAGCAUGGAAUAUAAUUUGCUCCAGUGCAGUCCACAGAAUUUCCCUUUACCUCCAUUCCUUUCUCCCCCUUUUCCCUUUCCUCUACUGCAUGGGAUCUUUUUUCUGUUUAUUUAUAGUUUUUUAAAAAUUUUAAAUCCUUGUAAAUAUAUAUAAAGGUGAUAUGAUCCAACUCUUUUUAAGUUAAUAAGUUGUAGUACCACAUUUUUAAUAUAAUCAUGGAAUUCUUUUUCUUAAUACACUGUGGUAUGUUCACAUAUGUACAUAAGAUAGUUUGGUCAGCUUCAUUCCACCAUUCUUUUCUUUUUCUGUCUUUUUGCUCUUCCUCUCUCCCUCAAUCCCUUUCCUCUACUCUACUGAUCUCUCUUCUAUUUUACUGGUACUCCCCCAUCACUUUUACUUUUUUGAGGGGGUAGGGGUUCCAGGGAUUGAACCCAGGGGCACUUAAACCUUGAGCCACAUCCUCAGCCCUUUAUACAUUUUAGUUUGAGACAGGGUCUCACUGAGUUGCUUAGGGACCCGCUAAGUUGCUGAGGCUGGCUUUGAACUUGUGAUCAUACUGCCUCCAUCUCCUGAGCUGCUAAGAGUAAAGGCAUGCACCACUUGUUCCCAGGAAGUACACUGAUUUUGCAUAAUCACAUAAAAUGCAGAUAUAAGUAAAUACUAUGAUGCUAGUCAUUAAAAAAAGGUUUCUUAUUUCUUUGCUUUUUAAAAUGUAGAUUGUUUUAUGAUAAUUUGUAUGAUCCAAGUCUUUUUUUAAGUUAAUAAUUAGUAGUGUCACAUUUUUAAUAAAAUCAUGGAAUUCUUUUUCUUAAUAAAAUUUGAUGUAAAAAAUAGAAUUUAAAAUGACUCCAUUGACAUCAUAACUGUCAAAAAGUACAAAAGUGGGCUGGGGAUGUGGCUCAAGCGGUAACACACUUGCCUCACAUGCGCAGGGCGCUGAGUUUGAUGCUCAGCACCACUUAAAAAUAAAAUAAAAAUGUUGUGUCCACCAAAAACUGAAAAGUAAAUAUUAAAAAGAAUUCUCUCUCUCUCUCUCUCUCAAAAAAAAAAGUAUAAAAGUGAGUGCAUAAUAUAAGUUGGUCGGUGUUAAUUACAUUGAACAAUUGAAGGACUCAGCUGUGUGUAGUGGAACACACAAGUUAUCCUAGUGACUCAGGAGUCUAUCACAGGAAGAUCAAAGUUUAAGGCCUACCUCAGCAACUUAGUGAGUCCCUGUGUCAAAAUAAAGAUGGAUGGUGGUGAUGGGGAUGUAGCUCAAUGAUAAAGUGCCCCUCUCUUCGCUUUUGGUUUUUAUCUUAAAACAUUUUCAGUUUGUUCAAAGGAGUUCAAAAUCAGAUAAAAUAUAAAGGCUGCUAUGUAAAUUACAAUAGCCAAAUUAUGGAACCAGCACAGGUGCCCAUCAAUGGAAGAAUGGAUAAANGCAUAAUAUAAGUUGGUCGGUUUUAAUUACAUUGAACAAUUGAAGGACUCAGCUGGGUGUAGUGGAACACACAAGUUAUCCUAGUGACUCAGGAGUCUAUCACAGGAAGAUCAAAGUUUAAGGCCUACCUCAGCAACUUAGUGAGUCCCUGUGUCAAAAUAAAGAUGGAUGGUGGUGAUGGGGAUGUAGCUCAACGAUAAAGUGCCCCUCUCUUCGCUUUUGGUUUUUAUCUUAAAACAUUUUCAGUUUGUUCAAAGGAGUUCAAAAUCAGAUAAAAUAUAAAGGCUGCUUUGUAAAUUACAAUAGCCAAAUUAUGGAACCAGCACAGGUGCCCAUCAAUGGAAGAAUGGAUAAAAAUGUAUACUAUAUAUACACAAUAGAAUUCUAUUCAACCAUACAGAAAAAUGAAAUUAUGAUAUUUGUUGGCAAAGGAAUGGAACUGGAGAACAUGAGGCUAAACAAAUAAGCCAGACUCAUGAAGUCAAGUGUUGGAUAUUUUCUUUUAUGAUGAGCUAGAGAGAGGGAAAAAGGAAUUAGAAAAGAGGGAUAUUAUGAAAAUAGAAGUGAGACCAAUAGAUGAAGGUUCUUAAGAGGGAGGGAGAAGGAGAGAGUAUGGGGAAAUACUGGUGAACAAAAUCUACAAAAUUUUGCUUUGUCUGUAUAAAUGUACCACAGUAAGGGCUGGAGUUGUGGCUCAGUGGUAGAGCACUUGCCUAGCACGUGGAAGGCAUUGGGUUCCAGCCUCAGUACCACAUAAAAGUAAAGAAAUAAAAUAAGUAUUUUUAAAAGGUAUCAUAGUAAAUCCUGCAUGUAUACAUGAAAUUGGUAUAUUAUAUAUGCAUAUAUAAUGCGUAAGUAUAUUUAUAAUGUAUUAAUUUAAAUAAUAAUGAUAGAAGGAACAUCAAUAGGAAGAGCCAGCAGAUCAGGGGUACUUGGGAAUGAGAUUGAUCAAUUUAUGAAAGUAUGAAUGUGGCAUAAUGAAUCCCACUAUUAUACAUAAUUAUAAUGCAGCAAUAAAUAAUUUUAAAGAAACAAAGGCCACCAUAAAAUCAUACUUUACAACUGGAAGGUCCUCACAUAUCUCUGUAAAGUCAAAUGGCAUAAAUUGUUGAGAACCCUUUAAAAAUCUUCAUAUAUGUCAGUUUAAAAUGAAUUUAUUUUAAUUUGAAAAUAAAAGAAAUUCAAUAACCUUAAAAAUAUUACAGAAUUAGGGGCUGGGGUAUUGCUUAGAGGUACAGUGCUCACCUAGCAUGUGUGAGACACUGGGUUCAAUCCUCAGCACCACAUAAACAUAAAAUACAAUAUUGUGUCCACCUAUAAUUAAAAAAAUAAAUUAUUAAUAAAAAAUUGACUUUUUUUAAAAUUAUAGAAUUAGGUAACAGUGGCAGACAACUAUGUGGUUGUUGGCUUUGCUAAUGCUGUUCAAUACUUGGUCUUUGGCAGAUGAGUGGGGAGAAUAUUAAAAUUUGGAUUGUUACUUAGUUAAUGUUGAAUAAAAUAGGAGCUGUAAAAUAACAAGUGAUGAGUGACUGUGCUACUGUUUCUGAGCUUUAAACCUGAUUCACCAGGAAGUGACUCUAGCCUUAAAAGUGGCAUUUCUAAACUUGGAGUUGAAUGUAGGAAAGUUCUGAACUCAGAUUGAAUCACCUAUCUCCAAACACUGUUUCUAAUUGUGGAAAGUGCAUGGGUUGAUUACAAUUGAAAAAAGUUCAAAUGCUGUAUUUUUGAGCACCAAGUUUAAGAACCAAACAUGAGGAGAAUGAUGGAUGGAGUGGCAAGCUGAGUCCAGGGUAUGUGGACAGUUGUGCUCAACUAGUGCUUAUGCUCUCCCUCAGUCUCUUCUCUCCCUUCUUCCUUCCCACAUUUAAAUUUCUCACUGCAGGUGUUUCAAAAAUUUUAGAUGUUAUUUUUAACCAUGAUUUCUUGUAUCAUAUCCUAUUUUAAAUUUUUAUUUUUCUGGUUUAAAAAAUGGAGUGUUUCACUGAUCAUUAAGACCUUGAAAUCUUGAAAAGUUUAUAAUAAUCUUGUUAAAGAGUUCCUUGAAUUUCAAGAGCUCAAAGAGACUUUAGAAACCACUUGUUUAGUUGUAUCAUGUACUUUGAAAUACAUCAUCACUUUUCAGCCACCUAGGUACAAUCUUCGUUUACAUUUUCUUAGUUUAUAUUUUCUUAAAAAAACCUUCUAUUUCAUCAACUGUACUACAAAUUAAUGUUAAAUAUCAGUUUACUGUAAGAUUCAACUAUGCCUCUCUUCAAGGUGUGAUUACAUCAGAACUUUCCUCAUGUUCUAUGGUGAAACAAGUUCCUAAAUACUAGGUUGAUCUAGCUAAAGAUACAAAAUAUUCAAAAUGGAAAUUUGAAAAUUCUGUGGAUGGAAUAGGUUGCUAAUAGAUGAUACAGUAGAUAAUCCCUUAGCAUCACCUGGAUUAAUCAUUUUUUUAUUUAUUAUUGACAUUUUUCCUACAGAGAAGAUGUGUGCCUAAUCAUUUCUGAAUGAUUCACAGAUAAACAGAAAUAUGGGUAACUGGAACCAAAAUUUUGGUCUUAAGCAGACCAGAGACCUGGCUCAUUAACAUAUUUUUCAUAGAUAUGUUGCUGAAGUAUAUAAAUAGAUGCAAUUAAACACUGCUUUUUUUUUUUUUGGAAUCAUCAUAAAUUUUGUCUAUCUUUAAUAUAAGUGUAGUUGCAGUUUAUUUUUUGAAUCGUAGAUAUUGUUUGAUUGCUGAUCCAAACUUACAGAUAGCCUGAUCCAGAAGAAAAUAAUCCUUUAAUACUAUAGUAAGGGAAAUCUGUGACUUUGUUGCUUAGUGUUCUGCCCAAAACCAUCAGUAAACUUCUAAGAUGGCACACCAAAAUCAGUUUUUCUAGUAUCAUUCCCCUUUCCACAUGGUGGGAAUUCUAUUUCUUCUUGCUUAAAUAAAUAAAUUUUAUUCUUCAAAAUUUCUGAGACAAGCAUCCAGAUACAAUUGGUAAAGUGAGAAAUUUUGUUUCAUCACAAAAUUCCACUUUCAACAUAAUCAAUUAUUUUUUUUCCCCAUGUUUCUUAAAAAUAGGCUUCAGAAAAAGCAUCUUAUCAUAUGGAUUCACUUUCAUUCUUUCUGGAAUCACCCCAGGAACAAAGGACUUUGUUGGAGGUGUUCUCCCAAAUGGGUUUCAAGGGUAUUUACAUUUGAAAUAGGCCUUAAUGGUGCUCAUUCACAAAUCUUCCAGUUAGCCUUGAGGUGUGGUACAAUGAAGCCCAUUAUCCUCAUUACAGGGUCAUUUCACUAUCUAUUCUAUUUUAUACUUAUUCACUGUGAACAGAGAAAAACUAGAAAAAAAACUAAAAAAACCUAGAAAACCCCCUAGAAAACUAGGGGUUUAUUCUCAGACCUAUGAAGACCUAAGCUGAAGUUGUGGAUUUCAAAUUUUUGUUUUGAAUUUGAGAUAAAGCUUCCCUUUCAUUUAAAUGCUCUGGCGUCCUGAGGAGCAUGAGUUAAAAGCCAGCAUCAGCAAUUUAGUAAGGACCUAAAAAUCUCAAAGGGACGCUGUCUGUAAAUAAAAAUACAUAAAAGGGCUGGGGAUGUAAAUCAGUGGAUAAACACUUCUGGGUUGCAUUUCUAGUACCAAAAAGAAAACAAAAAACAAAACACAAAUCAAAACAAAACAAAAACUCAUGACUAACAAGCCCUAAAAUCUACAGUCUCUCUCAUGCAUGAAUACAUCAAAUGGAGCUGGGGUUCUCUCCUGAUAAUUAUCCCAGGCUUCACCACUGGGAUAAUAGUCUGGGGACAUGCUGGACUUUGGCACAUGGAUGCCCACAAAGAGUUUCAGAAAGAAGCUGAAAACUCCAUACAAUCAUGGAACAAAAUGCUCAGGUUGUCAACUGCUGACCUAAGCUCCACUAGACUAGUCAGAGGCGGGUGAACCCUGAGCUGCCUCGGAGAGUCCCUCUGACCCCAGAGGGACUAGCCACAAUCUCCAGUUUCCACCAUUGCCUCUUCCACCAGCUUCAAACAACCUUUCUACCCAGUCCCAGGAUAACAAGCACACUUACAUUUCCUGGCUUUCAGGUUUCUUAACGUUUUCCCUGUGAUUUGUUUUCAGCAUCUGUGUAGCAAAGAAACCUAGACUCCUGAUCCAGGACAGGAAGACUACAAAAAGAUUGAAAGAAUGGUGGGCUCCAGACAGGAAGAGAACACAAGAUUGUGGAAUCCCGCCCCCUCAUCACUGGUCCUGUGAGGAUGGACAGUCCUCACCUAAGAGACUGGUUGGAAAAGGCUUCAGCACUUCCCCAUUUUCAUUGUUGAAAGAUUAAGGAUCAGAGUUGGGGAUAUAGCUUAGUCAGUAGAGUGCUUGUUUUGCUUAUUUAAGGCCAUGGAUUCAAUUUCCUGCACCACACACACACACACACACACACAGAAUAAGUGAAGGACUGUGGGGAAUGGGGUUGUCAUUAAGUGGUAGAGUGCUUUUCUAGUAUGUGUGAGGUACUGGGUUGAACACCCAGCACCACAUUAAAAAAAAAGAAAAAAGGAAAGAAAGAAACAAACAAACUAAUAAUGAUAUUGUAUCUA
RNAcentral lists this long non-coding RNA (16555 nucleotides) under Marmota monax (woodchuck). Lineage: Eukaryota; Metazoa; Chordata; Mammalia; Rodentia; Sciuridae. The record is from RNAcentral.